GAUGAACGCUGGCGGCGUGCCUAAUACAUGCAAGUCGAGCGAACGGACGAGAAGCUUGCUUCUCUGAUGUUAGCGGCGGACGGGUGAGUAACACGUGGAUAACCUACCUAUAAGACUGGGAUAACUUCGGGAAACCGGAGCUAAUACCGGAUGAUAUUUUGAACCGCAUGGUUCAAAAGUGAAAGACGGUCUUGCUGUCACUUAUAGAUGGAUCCGCGCUGCAUUAGCUAGUUGGUAAGGUAACGGCUUACCAAGGCAACGAUGCAUAGCCGACCUGAGAGGGGGAUCGGCCACACUGGAACUGAGACACGGUCCAGACUCCUACGGGAGGCAGCAGUAGGGAAUCUUCCGCAAUGGGCGAAAGCCUGACGAAGCAACGCCGCGUGAGUGAUGAAGGUCUUCGGAUCGUAAAACUCUGUUAUUAGGGAAGAACAUAUGUGUAAGUAACUGUGCACAUCUUGACGGUACCUAAUCAGAAAGCCACGGCUAACUACGUG
RNAcentral lists this ribosomal RNA (497 nucleotides) under uncultured bacterium. Its description in RNAcentral is "partial 16S ribosomal RNA". It matches the Rfam family "Bacterial small subunit ribosomal RNA", at positions 28 to 507 of the family's 1533-position model. The record is from RNAcentral.